This 775-nucleotide ribosomal RNA is filed under the name uncultured Neocallimastigales. RNAcentral's name for it is "partial large subunit ribosomal RNA". It matches the Rfam family "Eukaryotic large subunit ribosomal RNA", at positions 19 to 646 of the family's 3401-position model. Lineage: Eukaryota; Fungi; Neocallimastigomycota; Neocallimastigomycetes; Neocallimastigales. The record is from RNAcentral.
CGAGCACGCGCGUGUGGCAUAUCAAUAAGCGGAGGAAAAGAAACUAACAAGGAUUCCCUUAGUAACGGCGAGUGAAGCGGGAAGAGCUCAAAUUUGAAAUCUUCAAGGUUCUACCUUGACGAAUUGUAGUUUAUAGAAGUGUUUUCUGUUAGUAGGAGUGGCAAAAGUUCUUUGGAAUAGGACAUCAUAGAGGGUGAGAAUCCCGUAUUUGGUCAUUCCUCCUAGCGUUGUGAUACACUUUCAACGAGUCGGAUUGUUUGGGAAUGCAGUCCAAAAUGGGUGGUAAAUUUCAUCUAAAGCUAAAUAUAGGCGAGAGACCGAUAGCGAACAAGUACCGUGAGGGAAAGAUGAAAAGAACUUUGAAAAGAGAGUUAAACAGUACGUGAAAUUGUCAAAAGGGAAGCGUUUGACACCAGUGUUGUUUUUCCGAAAAUCAAUUACGAAUGUUUUGUUUUUGAGGAGUUAUGACUUAGUCGGCUUGCUCCUUUCUUUACGAAACUUUCUUAAUGCACUUUUCGGUUAACAAGUCAACAUCAAUUUCUUUUGUUGUAAAAGGGUAUGAGGAAGGUGGCUUUCUUUUCGGAGAAAGUGUUUAUAGCCUUGUGCCUCUGCAAUCGGAGAGAUUGAGGUCUGCAGCGUAGAUCCUUCGGGGUUAGAUACGUUUGUGCUAAGUUAUAGCUUUUCAUAGACAACUUGUUGACUAUGUUUAGUCUUGUAGCUUACUCGCUGACGCUAUUUUACCUACGCUUAGGAUGUUGAUGUGAUACUGCGAGCA